UUCCCGACCUGUGCAGCCUCGGAUGACAGUUGUCUUCGAGAAUGAUGGGGAGGGGUCUUCAAGCUACUGAGGCCCCAGAAAACUUCUGUACCUCCCCCCCAACCCACACAGACUUAAUAGCAUUGUCUGGAAGGGAAGGAAAGAUAUCCCCCACUUUCUUCCCCCACAUUUGUGUGUAACGUGUUAAUUUGUUAAUAACACAGGUAAACCAUUUCACUCUCUGAAAACCAGGUGCCAGAGCUCUGAGCACCUACUUAGUGGAAGGAAAGAGAAAAAGGGAAAUAAAUUAUAACGUGACCCAGAAAAAAAAAA
Molecule: long non-coding RNA, 312 nt
Filed under: Rattus norvegicus (Norway rat)
Lineage: Eukaryota; Metazoa; Chordata; Mammalia; Rodentia; Muridae
Description: long non-coding RNA NONRATT007694
Source: RNAcentral